UGCACAAACAAAUGCUACUUUUCUCAAGUUAGCGGGACCUCAGCUUGUGCAGAUGUUCAUUGGAGAUGGAGCAAAACUUGUUCGUGAUGCUUUCCAGCUGGCAAAAGAGAAAUCACCUUGCAUAAUUUUCAUUGAUGAAAUUGAUGCUAUAGGCACAAAGCGUUUUGAUAGCGAAGUUAGUGGGGAUCGAGAGGUCCAACGAACUAUGUUGGAGUUACUUAACCAGCUCGAUGGUUUUAGCAGCGAUGAUCGGAUUAAGGUGAUAGCAGCAACAA
This 275-nucleotide unclassified non-coding RNA is filed under the name Hevea brasiliensis (rubber tree). The record is from RNAcentral. Lineage: Eukaryota; Viridiplantae; Streptophyta; Magnoliopsida; Malpighiales; Euphorbiaceae.